RNAcentral lists this ribosomal RNA (446 nucleotides) under uncultured bacterium. RNAcentral describes it as "bacterial SSU rRNA". It matches the Rfam family "Bacterial small subunit ribosomal RNA", at positions 35 to 507 of the family's 1533-position model. The record is from RNAcentral.
UCCGUGGCUCGAGGGUAGAACGGUUGGCGGCGCGUCUAAUACAUGCAAGUCGAGUGGGUUUAGACCCACGGCGGACGGCUGAGUAACACGUUGGUAGCUCGCCCUCCAUUCAGGGAUAACCUUUCGAAAGAAAGACUAAUACCGGAUAGUCCCGCAAGGGUAAAGAUUUAUCGAUGGAGGAGGCGCCUGCGUCCUAUCAGUUAGUUGGUGAGGUAACGGCUCACCAAGACGAUGACGGGUAGCUGGUCUGAGAGGACGACCAGCCAGAGGGAAACUGAGACACGGUUCCCACUCCUACGGGAGGCAGCAGUAAAGAAUCUUCCGCAAUGGACGAAAGUCUGACGGAGCGACGCCGCGUGCAGGAUGAAGGCCUUCGGGUUGUAAACUGCUUUUCUGAAAGAAUAAUUCUGAAGGUAUUUCAGGAAUAAGUACCGGCAAAUCUCGUG